RNAcentral lists this ribosomal RNA (393 nucleotides) under Vibrio parahaemolyticus. RNAcentral's name for it is "partial 23S ribosomal RNA". It matches the Rfam family "Bacterial large subunit ribosomal RNA", at positions 82 to 525 of the family's 2925-position model. The record is from RNAcentral. Lineage: Bacteria; Pseudomonadati; Pseudomonadota; Gammaproteobacteria; Vibrionales; Vibrionaceae.
UUAGGUAGUAACAACCAUUUGAGUCUGGGAUUUCUGAAUGGGGAAACCCACUUACAUAAGUAAGUAUCCUUACCUGAAUACAUAGGGUAAGGAGGCGAACCGGGGGAACUGAAACAUCUAAGUACCCCGAGGAAAAGAAAUCAACCGAGAUUCCGAAAGUAGCGGCGAGCGAAAUUGGACUAGCCCUUAAGCUUUACACGCGUUAGACGAACGGUCUGGAAAGUCCGACGAUACAGGGUGAUAGUCCCGUAGUUGACGACGUGUGUUCAGUGAAAUCGAGUAGGGCGGGACACGUGAUAUCCUGUCUGAAUAUGGGGGGACCAUCCUCCAAGGCUAAAUACUACUGACUGACCGAUAGUGAACCAGUACCGUGAGGGAAAGGCGAAAAGAACC